GACACGGACGCAGCCAAUCAGGAAACCGGGGGAAACACAGCGACAGCCAAUCACACGAGUCUGGAGACUCAACCGUUAAACUCCACCCAACCUCAAAUACAACUGGACCAGAGCAGGGACGGCACACUUGUUUUGCAGGAGACCCUGUCCCCACUCUGAAGAGUCCUGAUGAGAUGGCGCAUGUGCAGUUGGGGCUGGUCCAUGCCGAGCCUGGAGCUGGUUUUGAAGUUUUGGAUCCUCUGAUUCCGCUCCGGACACAGGAACAGAAGCUCUGGGAUGGCCGGGAUGUUUUGUCGAAGUGUUACCACACUGCUAACACCGACCUCUGCUGCGCUGCUAAAGGGCUUUCCCCCACGGGACAUUAUUAAAAUGCGUUAAUUAAUUAAACAAGCCUGCACAUUCCCUGCUGCACCUUGCACACUGAGUCCGUAAUUGUAUGCAAAUUAUUUUUAACGUACGUUACAAAUGACAUCGACCAACUUGGGGAAGAGACGUGGAUUCUUGCAGUUCCCUGAACAAAACAGGAAAAUGAAUUGCGUGCGUCGCCAAACAAAAAUUACUUUGAUAAAAUCCGACAAAGAUAACCAAGACUUUCAGAGAGAUCGGGGCGAGGGAGCGUAACCCGAGAGCGAUCGGAGCGAGAGCGAUCGGAGCGAGAGCUCUCCGGGCUUAAUGGUCACCAUAGCAGUACAUGAGAGUGACGGCACUGCUGGCUCCACACACAGUAGAAGGUAAUUUUAUGGUUUAGUGUUGUUGGAAGCUCGUUGCUAGCUUCCCAACUUUAUUUUGGAUCUAUUUAUUACAGGAGCGAGUGCUUGAAAUGAAAAUAAUGGUCUCUGAUGUUUGUACUACUGAAUGCAGUUGUGUAAUAUCAUGGUUUAUCAUGCAUUGUGUAACAUUAUUUUAGCUCGAGUAGAAACUUAAUAAUUAGCAAAUGUUUUAACUUCCACCUUUUCGUGCCCUAAAGAAAGUGGUUUCCGAUCGGCGUGAUGCUGUACCCACUCCGCUCUCCACAGUGCCCAUGAUCGGGGGU
Long non-coding RNA from Polyodon spathula (Mississippi paddlefish), 1033 nucleotides. RefSeq lists it as uncharacterized. The transcript has 4 exons. NCBI's taxonomy places the organism in Eukaryota, Metazoa, Chordata, Actinopteri, Acipenseriformes, Polyodontidae. The record is from RefSeq and is a predicted model, not a curated record.